CAUCAGCGGGGGAUUGAUGAAGUACACUGGAGUUCACCUGUACAGCAGAUUAUGAGACACCACUUCUUUAAAGGUGCAGCAUCGCCUAUCGCCUUGCCCGCCUUUCUCACCAGCUGCCGCUUCACAAAGACAAGAGCGUAUAUGUAAAGGAGGAGAAGCCCCUGACGAAAUCCGAACUACCAAUGGUUGUGCUUUCCGGCCCACUUGUCCAGAGACCUUCCAGGAAGCUCUGUCACCUCUUCAGUCCCAGGACAGAGCCAGCAGGCUCUUGGCAAAGCAGAAACAGGUACCCAGAUGUGUUCAAAGCUUCUUAGCAAAGGAACUUCAUUCCUUUGUGUUAUCGUGUCUGUAGCAGAGUGACAAGUACACGUGCGUUAAUUUUGUUUAUUUUAAAACAGCUGCAUUGGGGCUCAUUUUCCACAGCACAGAACUCACUGAUUUUGAGUACAAAAUUCAGUGAUGACUCAGCAAAUCUACAAAGUAUUGCAGCAGCAGCACCACCAGGAAUGGGUUUGGGAACAUUUUCUUCCCCUUAACCCUGUGCCUCAGGCGUCUUUACUCUGAAUCCUCUGCUCCCAUACCAGGCGACACCUGUCUAUCAGUUUGCCUUUGGGGACGUCCCAUAUUUCAUUCCUGUGCCCCAUUAAGUCACUGAAAUCUGUGGGUUGCUUGUUUUCACAGCUUAGUUGAGUCUCUCUUGCUAGAUUUCAAAGG
Molecule: long non-coding RNA, 714 nt
Filed under: Oryctolagus cuniculus (rabbit)
Lineage: Eukaryota; Metazoa; Chordata; Mammalia; Lagomorpha; Leporidae
Description: lncRNA (ENSOCUG00000039397.1)
Source: RNAcentral